RNAcentral lists this ribosomal RNA (495 nucleotides) under uncultured bacterium. Its description in RNAcentral is "partial 16S ribosomal RNA". It matches the Rfam family "Bacterial small subunit ribosomal RNA", at positions 29 to 506 of the family's 1533-position model. The record is from RNAcentral.
ACGAACGCUGGCGGCGUGCCUAAUACAUGCAAGUAGAACGCUGAAGAGAGGAGCUUGCUCUUCUUGGAUGAGUUGCGAACGGGUGAGUAACGCGUAGGUAACCUGCCUUGUAGCGGGGGAUAACUAUUGGAAACGAUAGCUAAUACCGCAUAACAAUGGAUGACACAUGUCAUUUAUUUGAAAGGGGCAAUUGCUCCACUACAAGAUGGACCUGCGUUGUAUUAGCUAGUAGGUGAGGUAAUGGCUCACCUAGGCGACGAUACAUAGCCGACCUGAGAGGGUGAUCGGCCACACUGGGACUGAGACACGGCCCAGACUCCUACGGGAGGCAGCAGUAGGGAAUCUUCGGCAAUGGGGGCAACCCUGACCGAGCAACGCCGCGUGAGUGAAGAAGGUUUUCGGAUCGUAAAGCUCUGUUGUAAGUCAAGAACGGGUGUGAGAGUGGAAAGUGCACACUGUGACGGGAGCUUACCAGAAAGGGACGGCGAACUACGU